RNAcentral lists this ribosomal RNA (497 nucleotides) under uncultured bacterium. RNAcentral's name for it is "partial 16S ribosomal RNA". The stretch from base 56 to 497 matches the Rfam family "Bacterial small subunit ribosomal RNA", at positions 37 to 507 of the family's 1533-position model. The record is from RNAcentral.
GGGGGGGGGGGGGGGGGGGGGGGGGGGGGGGGGGGGGGGGGGGGGGACGAGGAGGUGGGGGCGCGGAGGUUAGCGGCGGACGGGGGGGGAAGAGGUGGGUAACCGACCGAUGAGACUGGGGGAACGUCGGGAAACCGGGGCUACAACCGGAUAAUAUUUUGAACGGCAUGGUUCAAAAGUGAAAGACGGUCUGGCUAUCACUUAUAGAUGGAUCCGCGCUGCAUUAGCUAGUUGGUAAGGUAACGGCUUACCAAGGCAACGAUGCAUAGCCGACCUGAGAGGGUGAUCGGCCACACUGGAACUGAGACACGGUCCAGACUCCUACGGGAGGCAGCAGUAGGGAAUCUUCCGCAAUGGGCGAAAGCCUGACGGAGCAACGCCGCGUGAGUGAUGAAGGUCUUCGGAUCGUAAAACUCUGUUAUUAGGGAAGAACAUAUGUGUAAGUAACUGUGCACAUCUUGACGGUACCUAAUCAGAAAGCCACGGCUAACUACGUG